UGUGAGGGGGCUGAGGGUGUUAGUGUGAGUUGCCGGCACCUGCUGCUCGUGAGGGCUCCAAGCCGGCUCAGCCGCGGACACACGCUUUGAACCCCUCUUUUAAAACCACGCUUUAAAACCGAGUGCCGCCAUGGUUUAUUGUCGCUCCCCCAGCCCAUUUAUACACUGCGUGGAGAGCGGGUCCCGCGGCUCGGUCCCCACAGAAGGCGCCCGGGGCCCACCAGCAAGAAGUUCUGCCAAUGGUGAGACGGAAUUGGUCCAAUUUGAAACACGAAGAAGAGAAGGCUUUUACCUGUUGCAAAAGACAUUUGAGAUAAAAUAAGGUCCUUGAGGGCCUUGCCUUUCAUCUCAAUACAAAAAGAGGACCCUGGGGCCUUGCUAUACACUCAGACUGCACAUGCAGUGAGGGAGAAUAUACAGCAAAUGCAAAGUGAGAAGUCCUUCCUGUCUGUGUGCUGGACUCAGGUGGAGCUGUGCUGGAUCAACAUUAGAAGCCAGAACCCCCUGCCAGGUGUGCCACAGAGCUGCUCAUGGCACAGUAAGGGGAAGGAAAGUUUAACUGAGAUUUCAUUUUCCUUACAUUAUUUGUUCUCUGUCUUGCUGUAUUGGUGUAGUCACUCUGAGUGUGUGCUAUUCUGCCACAUACCAUGUGGGCAGGAAUUCUGAGUUCUAGACCUCUGGAGAUCCCAGCAGGAGCUAAAUAAAAUGUUUCAGCUUUGAAAACAACAAAUGAUCCAAACCCAUUUGAGUUGCCAGAAAUGUCUCAAGUGAGCACUGGAGCA
This is a long non-coding RNA of Passer montanus (Eurasian tree sparrow), 782 nucleotides long. RefSeq lists it as uncharacterized. The transcript has 4 exons. The record is from RefSeq and is a predicted model, not a curated record. NCBI's taxonomy places the organism in Eukaryota, Metazoa, Chordata, Aves, Passeriformes, Passeridae.